This 704-nucleotide long non-coding RNA is filed under the name Sus scrofa (pig). Its description in RNAcentral is "lncRNA (ENSSSCG00070001829.1)". The record is from RNAcentral. Lineage: Eukaryota; Metazoa; Chordata; Mammalia; Artiodactyla; Suidae.
CUUCUGCUUCUGCUCCAUGGCUGGGCGACACACCGGAGUGGCUCUGGGUCUCUGACGGGAAGGAAGAUUGCAAGAUGCCAGCCGAGGGCCAAGCAGGUGGAAAAUAAGUCGUGUUAUCUGUCUGGCGGUUGAUCUCGCCAGCCCUGGGCUCCACUGCCAGAGCUGGUGGAGGAGACAAACCGGUAACCAGGCAGCGCCUCAAAGACGGGGAAUCAUGUGAUGGUGGAAGAGAGGAGCACAUCAGGGAAGGGCUCCGAAGCCACACCGUGUUAGGACCUGCACUUGUCCCAGCCGGGAGGAGCAGCAGGUGCAAAGGUCCUGAGGCACGGUCUCCGGGAUGAAUCGAAGUGUUCUGGGGCAAAGGGGACGUGGUCCUGAUGCAGUCAGGUCAGUGCUCGGUGGUGGGACCGUUUCAGGUCCGCGAGGUCCCGAACGUGGGCCGAUCGGUGCUGGUGAGCCGGGGGAGGCGGGGCAGACGCUGAAGAUUACGGCAAAGAGAAGCUCGGAGACUUGGGGUGGGUUUUGCUCAUCUGUGUCGCGGAGGCCUCGACCCCGAGAGCUGCCCCUGUUCCUGUCCCCAGCGGUGACAAGAGUGACAUCGCCUCCCUGAAACCUGUGCUGCCCCGUUUCAUUAAGAGGAGAGAGAGAGAGAGAUGGCCUUUCAGGUCAGGACGUUACAGGGAUGAGAAAGGAGACAGUAAGAG